Sceloporus undulatus (fence lizard) is the source of this 1231-nucleotide long non-coding RNA. RefSeq lists it as uncharacterized. The record is from RefSeq and is a predicted model, not a curated record. NCBI's taxonomy places the organism in Eukaryota, Metazoa, Chordata, Lepidosauria, Squamata, Phrynosomatidae. The transcript has 3 exons.
UGCAAUCCAAUAUGUCUCCAUUCCAGUGAGGUCACCGGCCUCUUUGUCGGCAAAGAACAAUGGAUUCCUCAACAAGUCUCCCUGUUUUUGCAUCGGGAACAUUUUGGGAGGACUUGUCGUCAGACCUGGAACAAGACUUACCCAGCCAACAUGAAUGGGAGGAAACCCAACAGCCAUCCAGUGAGACAUCUGAAGACCAGCUUGGUCCCUUUGCUGUUGGACAAGGCAGCUCACCUGAAUGAGGAACAGCUCCCCAAGAGAGGCACCCACAGAAGUGGCUAAGCCUCUCCCUCAGUUGCAAGGCAUAAGCUACAAUCAAGAGUUCCCCAUGAGAAACAUGAGUGGUUGGUGUCCUUUUAGUCACAUGUGCAGCUUCUCUGGGAAAAAAACCUCUGGUUUUGGACACACAACAUCUAUCCUCUUCAGUCACUCCUUCCAAAUGUUCACACUGUCUGGUUCUAUGGCAUCUCAAUACAGGAGAAUAAAUUACAUAUUUUCAAGUCCCCUAAAUAAUGAGAAGUACAUUGGGCAGCAUUUCAUCCAAUGAAGUUGCUUUUAUAUAUUUAUUUCUGUUCACUUAAUGUUAAUCUAUAGAGCUGUACUGAUUUCAAAAUAGCCACCUUGCGGCUUAUACAAGUCACUUGAAAUGAUAUGGACAAUGCAAUGUGAAAUUGUCAAUAGGCCAUAAGGCCUGAUUCAAACACAAUGAAAGCUGCCCUGCAAAAAGCAUUUAUUGGGUCAGAUGUUGCCUAAAUCUGGUGUCAUUAUAUUUAAAGGCCCAUACAUCUGCAGUAUCAGGGCAUCAGAAGCGCAGUUUCUCAGAUUACUGUAUAGAUUUUUGAAAUUCCAGUCCUCUAUAUGUAUGAGCUGAUGCAUGUAAUAAGCAUGUAUUAUUCAUGUCAACCUGUCCAGCUUCUUGAUCUACUGGAAACUGUCAAUUUUCCUGGUCUAUAGCAGGGGUAGAGAAACUUGCAUUUCCCAUAUGAAACUAACUGGAUGCCUAGUUGCACUUUCUCUUAGGAUUAUCAACCUCAAAGGGCUAUUGUUAGAAUAAAACGGAUAGGAGGAGAGACAGAUAUACCAUCUUGAGCAUGUUGGAGGACAGAUAAUAGACAGCUAUGGGCAAAAAAUCUAAUACAAAUAUGCCUCCAUAAAACAAUGACCAAAUUGUGCAGAAAUGCUAAUUCACAACUUAUCUUAUUAUUCCCAUAUGAUCCAUAUAUAUGUAUGU